UUAAUCUGAUUUAGUCUCUUUUUCCAUUUGCAAUUUGUCUGUAAGCACUUGGUGCUUUUUUACCCUUGGUUUUAUUCACUGCUUGAAAUGAUUCUUUGAUUUGCAGGGCGUUCACAGCCGUCUCAUUACAGACAGAAAUCUGUGAUAGCCAAGAAUUAAGUUUGAUUGGGCCCAUAUGUCAACUUGCCUCAUUUUUGCUCUCUCAGUGUCUCUCCUGUGACUGUAUUUAUGAUGCAACUGUUCAUGUUUUACAAGUUCAAAAUGGAGCUUCUCUGAUUAUUCCCUGGUAGUCACUUAAAAAGCUCUGUCUCCACAGGUUUCUGCCCUACUGCUGGUUCUGCUGAAUACUGAAAAAAGGACAGACUCCCAACUUCAGCUUCUGUGAUAUUUUUAGCUGUCUGCAGGAAGCGAGCGUGAUCAUUCUCCUUCAGCGACUGCUCAGCCUGAGAGAUGAGGGAUGUCGAGCGCUCAAUGCACUGUUUGCAGUUCGCAAUCUGCUGAGCCAGUUUUCUCAACCUCACCACCUUGAGUGAAAACAUAAGAAAGCAGUCACGUCUCUAAGAAGACAACGGAUGAUAAAUUGUAAAAGGAAGAGUUUCAUCUCACUCACUCCCCACCCACUUCUGCAAUGGCAGACCUUACAAAUAGAUAAUCAGGUAUUUCUAACUCAGGUGAGAGAAGCCUUGUCCUGUGAGUAUGGUCAUACCACACAUCAGUGAGAAGUAAAAUAUCUUCAGGAGGUGUUUAACACAUCAGUUUGCAGCCAUACAGAGGACUGCAGUGAACACUGAGGCACU
Myiozetetes cayanensis is the source of this 797-nucleotide long non-coding RNA. RefSeq lists it as uncharacterized. The transcript is spliced from 4 exons. The record is from RefSeq and is a predicted model, not a curated record. Lineage: Eukaryota; Metazoa; Chordata; Aves; Passeriformes; Tyrannidae.